CUGGCUCAGAAUGAACGCUGGCGGCAUGGAUUAGGCAUGCAAGUCGCACGAGAAUUCCGCUUUCGGGCGGGAGGACAGUGGCGAACGGGUGAGUAACACGUGAGCACCCACCCCCGGGUCGGGCACAGCCCGCGGAAACGCGGAUUAAUACCCGACGGUCCCUUCGGGGCAAAGAGCAAUCGCCCGGGGACGGGCUCGCGUCCCAUCAGCUAGUCGGCGGGGUAACGGCCCGCCGAGGCGACGACGGGUAGGUGGUCUGAGAGGAUGGUCACCCACACUGGGACUGAGACACUGCCCAGACUCCUACGGGAGGCUGCAGUCGAGAAUCAUCCGCAAUGGGCGAAAGCCUGACGGUGCAAUGCCGCGUGGGGGAUGAAGGCCCUCGGGUCGUAAACCCCUGUCAGAGGGGACGAAAAACAUGACGGUACCCUCAGAGGAAGCCACGGCUAACUACGUGCCAGCAGCCGCGGUAACACGUAGGUGGCGAGCGUUAUUCGGAUUUACUGGGCGUAAAGGGUCCGCAGGGGGUUUGCCAAGUCCGGUGUGAAAGUCCGGGGCUCAACCCCGGAACUGCGCCGGAUACUGGUGAACUUGAGUGCGCGAGGGGCAGGCGGAAUUCCUGGUGUAGCGGUGGAAUGCGUGGAUAUCAGGAAGAACACCGACGGCGUANGCGGCCUGCUGGCGCGCGACUGACCCUGAUGGACGAAAGCGUGGGUAGCGAACAGGAUUAGAUACCCUGGUAGUCCACGCCGUAAACGGUGCAGACCCGAUGCGGGGGGGUUUCCCUCCGUGUCCAAGCCAACGCGUUAAGUCUGCCGCCUGGGGACUACGGUCGCAAGGCU
RNAcentral lists this ribosomal RNA (842 nucleotides) under uncultured organism. Its description in RNAcentral is "bacterial SSU rRNA". It matches the Rfam family "Bacterial small subunit ribosomal RNA", at positions 19 to 895 of the family's 1533-position model. The record is from RNAcentral.